RNAcentral lists this ribosomal RNA (515 nucleotides) under uncultured bacterium. RNAcentral describes it as "partial 16S ribosomal RNA". It matches the Rfam family "Bacterial small subunit ribosomal RNA", at positions 28 to 523 of the family's 1533-position model. The record is from RNAcentral.
GAUGAACGCUGGCGGCGUGCCUAAUACAUGCAAGUCGAGCGAAUGGAUUAAGAGCUUGCUCUUAUGAAGUUAGCGGCGGACGGGUGAGUAACACGUGGGUAACCUGCCCAUAAGACUGGGAUAACUCCGGGAAACCGGGGCUAAUACCGGAUAACAUUUUGAACCGCAUGGUUCGAAAUUGAAAGGCGGCUUCGGCUGUCACUUAUGGAUGGACCCGCGUCGCAUUAGCUAGUUGGUGAGGUAACGGCUCACCAAGGCAACGAUGCGUAGCCGACCUGAGAAGGUGAUCGGCCACACUGGGACUUGGACACGGCCCAGACUCCUACGGGAGGCAGCAGUAGGGAAUCUUCCGCAAUGGACGAAAGUCUGACGGAGCAACGCCGCGUGAGUGAUGAAGGCUUUCGGGUCGUAAAACUCUGUUGUUAGGGAAGAACAAGUGCUAGUUGAAUAAGCUGGCACCUUGACGGUACCUAACCAGAAAGCCACGGCUAACUACGUGCCAGCAGCCGCCGUAA